Molecule: unclassified non-coding RNA, 93 nt
Organism: Gorilla gorilla gorilla (western lowland gorilla)
Lineage: Eukaryota; Metazoa; Chordata; Mammalia; Primates; Hominidae
Rfam family: Y RNA
About the family: Y RNAs are components of the Ro ribonucleoprotein particle (Ro RNP), in association with Ro60 and La proteins. The Y RNAs and Ro60 and La proteins are well conserved, but the function of the Ro RNP is not known.
Source: Ensembl
GGCUGGUAGUGAGUUAUCUCGUUCAUAGUUACAGAUCAACCUCCUUGUUUUACUCUUUCCCCUCUUCUCAAUACUGCACUUGGCUAGUCGUGA